UACGUAGGUGGCAAGCGUUGUCCGGAUUUACUGGGCGUAAAGAGCGCGCAGGCGGUCGAUUUAGUCGCGUGUGAAAGCCCCCGGCUCAACUGGGGAGGGUCACGCGAUACUGAUCGACUCGAAGGCAGGAGAGGGUAGUGGAAUUCCCGGUGUAGUGGUGAAAUGCGUAGAUAUCGGGAGGAACACCAGUGGCGAAGGCGGGUCUCUGGGCCGAUACUGACGCUGAGGAGCGAAAGCGUGGGGAGCGAACAGG
Molecule: ribosomal RNA, 253 nt
Filed under: uncultured bacterium
Lineage: Bacteria
Description: partial 16S ribosomal RNA
Rfam family: Bacterial small subunit ribosomal RNA
Source: RNAcentral